Molecule: ribosomal RNA, 253 nt
Filed under: uncultured bacterium
Lineage: Bacteria
Description: partial 16S ribosomal RNA
Rfam family: Bacterial small subunit ribosomal RNA
Source: RNAcentral
UACAGAGGGGGCAAGCGUUAUUCGGAAUUAUUGGGCGUAAAGGGCGCGUAGGCGGUUCGUACAGUCAGACGUGAAAUUCCUGGGCUCAACCUGGGGGCUGCGUUUGAUACGUGCGGACUUGAGUGCGGAAGAGGGUCGUGGAAUUCCCAGUGUAGAGGUGAAAUUCGUAGAUAUUGGGAAGAACACCGGUGGCGAAGGCGGCGACCUGGUCCGAUACUGACGCUGAGGCGCGAAAGCGUGGGGAGCAAACAGG